GGGGCUGAACUGGUAUCGACCUCGACCGAACCGAGAUAGAAGAAGCGAGCCGAGGACUCCCGGUGUGACCUCGUUAAUCCUCUGGGAAACUUAUACCUGCCGCUGCGUAAUGCACGGUUGCCAUCACCUAAAUGAUGGCCGUCGGCCCGAGAUGAGCCUGCGAUCUCGGAACCCGGCGUCGUCUAGCAGGCUUACCGUCUGAAGUUCGUUCGAGGCGAA
This 219-nucleotide transfer-messenger RNA is filed under the name Actinomycetota bacterium. Its description in RNAcentral is "Actinobacteria bacterium partial transfer-messenger RNA". It matches the Rfam family "transfer-messenger RNA", at positions 1 to 235 of the family's 374-position model. Rfam says of the family: Bacterial tmRNA, also known as 10Sa RNA or SsrA, is named for its dual tRNA and mRNA-like properties. The record is from RNAcentral. Lineage: Bacteria; Bacillati; Actinomycetota.